GUUCGUUUCGUUUGCGUAUUCAAAGUGCCAUCGAAAAAUUUUGUAUGAAAAAUUAAACAGCGCCCCCUAUAGGUCAUAAAAAGAAAAAAACACCUAACUUUCGAUUUUCUUUCGUAUCGAGUUCAAAUACUAGGCGUGACGAAAGAUGGAUUUUGUAUGAAAUAACGUAGUACGAACCUAAUUUUGACAAUCAACGGUCGUUUCGUUGUCGUUGAAAUCAUCGAAUGUUGUGUCACUGUCAAUUUUGUUGUGAGAAGAUUACGUUGAUAUAAAUUUUACGUGUUUUUGAGGCUUAAAUGUGGAGAUUAUGUGGUCGGCGAAUUUAUUUCCUUGUUUGGCAUCAUUUAGAUUGUUUAGAUGCUUUAAGUUAAGAGAUUAGGAAGCAUCCCAACAGCAGGUAUUUGACCACAAUCGCACAUGAUGUUAAGAGGGAUGCAGUCUAGGAUGGUACAUAUCUGCCCUGUAAGAUACCUACUUAUGUGACAAAUUGCCGGAAAGAUAGUCUUAUGGCAACAAAAAGAGUGUCCUUGGAACACAAGGCAAGUACAUAAUUUAUUCAUACAUUCUGUCUACUCUACAUACCACAUGAUUUCUUUGUCAUUUGAUAGAUAAUAAUUAUUACAGGUUAUAUUAUGUGCUAUGCAUUAAGAUGCAUCCAGUUCAUACCAAGGCACUGAUGGUAUGAAGAAGCAUUUGGAAUUACUUAACCAAUGCUCUCAAUACCCCCAACAUACUCGGAGAAGUAGGUACCUACCCUACCCAAACCUUACAAAGAUCCAGCUCCGGCACAGAAUAAGUAAUAGGACUAAGGUUCCUAGGCACACUUAAGAAAUACCA
Molecule: long non-coding RNA, 837 nt
Organism: Ostrinia nubilalis (European corn borer)
Lineage: Eukaryota; Metazoa; Arthropoda; Insecta; Lepidoptera; Crambidae
Exons: 3
Source: RefSeq, a predicted model, not a curated record